AGAAACUUAGGCUAAAUUCUAAACCUAAAGCCUUCAAAGCUUUCAACAGAAGUUAAAAUCUUCUAGUUUCUG
This 72-nucleotide transfer RNA is filed under the name Allobates conspicuus. Its description in RNAcentral is "tRNA-Trp". It matches the Rfam family "tRNA". From Rfam's summary of the family: Transfer RNA (tRNA) molecules are approximately 80 nucleotides in length. Lineage: Eukaryota; Metazoa; Chordata; Amphibia; Anura; Aromobatidae. The record is from RNAcentral.